AACCUUAAAACCCUAAGUCACUUCUCUCACUCCUCUCUCACGCCCAGCAUCCUCGACCCAUUCCUGACCGGCGCCCGCGCCUACCCCCACCCAUCACCGGCCGGCGCCACGCCACGCCACGUUCUCCGACCGGCGCCGUCUCAGCAGCAGCAGAGGGCGGCACAGCAGCAGCAGCAAUCUUGGCAAUUGAGGAAUCUCAACAUUUAAAAAAGUUGAUACAAGACUAUUCUCCUUUCAUCAAAGUAGGAGAUAAGUGUCGACACAGAGAAGAAGAAGAAGAAGCAAAAAUGGGAGGUAAAGGGAAGAAGAGAAGAGAGAAGAAUUACAGGGCAGCUCAUGGAGGCACUACUAGACUUCCUCCCCCACCCAACACCUCUUCUAUUGAUGCCAUUCCCUCUAAGCUCCGUCAAAUUAUGGCCUUUUCAGGGGAUGGGAAAGGUUCAUCGGAUAAUGCAGACAGGAAGAAAGGAGAUAGUGGUGGUAGUGCUAAUGGAAAGAGGAUACAUUCAGACGAUCAAAUUCAAGCUAAAACUGCGGGUAACAAACGGAAAGAUGACAAAAGCAGUUUGAGUGGUGUUGGAGCUGAAGAAAGUAAUGCACAUCAGAAGAGAAAUAAAAAGAGAAAAAGGAAGGAAGUGAAGGACCUUCGGUUUGAUACAACUGAACUGGGCAUUACUAGUUCAAAGAGAAAGGAGCGAAAGAAACAGCGUUUGGCAGAAAUGAAGAAGAAACAUAAAAAGGCCAAUACUGAUGAACACAUGGAUUUUCCUGGCCGUGAAGAAAUAAAAUUUGGUGAAGUCGUUGAAGCUCCACCUAAGCUUGCAGUUCCAAAGGCAUUCAAGAAUAAUGCACAUGAUGCUUCAAAAGAAAGACUUCGAUUGCAAGCAGUUGAGGCCUAUAGGCAGCGGAAAGGAUGGACAUCAAGACUGGGGCUUCAGAUUUCUCCACCAAUCACCGAGACUCCAUUGGUAUAGUUAUCUCAGAAACAACUAGUUGGAUGGGUACAUGAUGCCAUGCAAAAUAUCUACACUAAGAAAAAUGAGAAAGAAGGAUCUGUAGUUCAGCAGGAAGAAUGACCUUGUCUUCAAGUCCUCGUCAUGUUGCUAGCUGAGAUCCUGCCAGAAAUUUCAGAAUAUAUCUGAAUCUUAUCGCAUUAUGUAACGACUCUUUCACAGUUUUUCCAUAGGCUACUUAAAACACAGCAGCACUUCAUAAUCUUGUCCAUCCAACAAACAAAUUGGAUGGACGGUAUGUCAUGUUAUUCAUUUUCCAUUGCUAUACUGUUGCCGAAAUUCUCCACAACGAUAUUCGGAGUCCCACAGUUGUAUGAGUUACCUUCAUUACUAAUUCUAUUUACAAGGAACAUACAUAGAUAGCAUGGUUCGCCAAGUUUAGAGGUGUUUUUAGCACUUCUCUUGGCUUUUUA
Solanum pennellii is the source of this 1426-nucleotide RNA transcript. It is a transcript of the gene named pre-mRNA-splicing factor CWC22 homolog, with no coding region annotated. The record is from RefSeq and is a predicted model, not a curated record. Lineage: Eukaryota; Viridiplantae; Streptophyta; Magnoliopsida; Solanales; Solanaceae. The transcript has 8 exons.